This 253-nucleotide ribosomal RNA is filed under the name uncultured bacterium. RNAcentral describes it as "partial 16S ribosomal RNA". It matches the Rfam family "Bacterial small subunit ribosomal RNA", at positions 524 to 776 of the family's 1533-position model. The record is from RNAcentral.
UACGUAGGGGGCAAGCGUUGUCCGGAUUUAUUGGGCGUAAAGAGCGUGUAGGCGGCCAUACAGGUCAGCUGUGAAAACUCGAGGCUCAACCUCGAGACGUCGGUUGAAACCGUAUGGCUAGAGUCCGGAAGAGGAGAGUGGAAUUCCCGGUGUAGCGGUGAAAUGCGCAGAUAUCGGGAAGAACACCCGUGGCUAAGGCGGCUCUCUAGUACGGUACUGACGCUGAGACGCGAAAGCGUGGGGAGCGAACAGG